GUUAGGAAUAUUGGACAAUGGGCGCAAGCCUGAUCCAGCCAUGCCGCGUGAGUGAUGAAGGCCUUCGGGUUGUAAAGCUCUUUAGCCGAUGAUUAUAAUGACUGUAGUCGGAAAAUAAGCCCCGGCUAACUUCGUGCCAGCAGCCGCGGUAAUACGAAGGGGGCGAGCGUUAUUCGGAAUCACUGGGCGUAAAGCGUGCGUAGGCGGCUUUGCAAGUUGGGAGUGAAAGCCCAGGGCUCAACCCUGGAAUUGCUCGCAAAACGGCGAGGCUCGAAUUCGGGAGAGGAUAGCGGAAUUGUCAGUGUAGCAGUGAAAUGCGUAGAUAUUGACAGGAACACCAGUGGCGUAAGCGGCUAUCUGGACCGAUAUUGACGCUGAGGCACGAAAGCGUGGGGAUCAAACAGGAUUAGAUACCCGUGUAGUCC
RNAcentral lists this ribosomal RNA (425 nucleotides) under uncultured bacterium. Its description in RNAcentral is "bacterial SSU rRNA". It matches the Rfam family "Bacterial small subunit ribosomal RNA", at positions 354 to 796 of the family's 1533-position model. The record is from RNAcentral.